UACGGAGGGUGCAAGCGUUAUCCGGUAUUACUGGGUUUAAAGGGUGCGUAGGCGGCUUAGUAAGUCAGGGGUGAAAUGUCACGGCUCAACCGUGGAAUUGCUUUUGAUACUGCUGAGCUUGAAUCAGGAUGAGGUUGGCAGAAUGUGGCAUGAAGCGGUGAAAUGCAUAGAUAUGCCAUAGAACACCGAUUGCGAAGGCAGCUGGCUAGACCUUGAUUGACGCUGAGGCACGAAAGCGUGGGGAGCGAACAGG
Molecule: ribosomal RNA, 253 nt
Filed under: uncultured bacterium
Lineage: Bacteria
Description: partial 16S ribosomal RNA
Rfam family: Bacterial small subunit ribosomal RNA
Source: RNAcentral